Molecule: ribosomal RNA, 274 nt
Filed under: uncultured bacterium
Lineage: Bacteria
Description: partial 16S ribosomal RNA
Rfam family: Bacterial small subunit ribosomal RNA
Source: RNAcentral
AUACAGAGGGUGCGAGCGUUAAUCGGAAUUACUGGGCGUAAAGCGCGCGUAGGCGGCUUAUUAAGUCAGAUGUGAAAUCCCCGGGCUCAACCUGGAAACUGCAUCUGAUACUGGUAAGCUAGAGUUUUGGAGAGGGAAGUAGAAUUUCAGGUGUAGCGGUGAAAUGCAUAGAGAUCUGAAGGAAUACCAGUGGCGAAGGCGACUUCCUGGCCAAAAACUGACGCUGAGGUGUGAAAGCGUGGGUAGCAAACGGGAUUAGAAACCCUAGUAGUCC